Molecule: transfer RNA, 74 nt
Filed under: Mus musculus (house mouse)
Lineage: Eukaryota; Metazoa; Chordata; Mammalia; Rodentia; Muridae
Description: tRNA-Ser
Source: RNAcentral
GGCUGGAGAGAUGCUCAGAGGUUAAGAGCACUGACUGCUGUUCCAGAGGUCCUGAGUUCAAAUCCCAGCAACCA